RNAcentral lists this unclassified non-coding RNA (320 nucleotides) under air metagenome. Its description in RNAcentral is "partial contains small subunit ribosomal RNA, internal transcribed spacer 1, and 5.8S ribosomal RNA". The stretch from base 1 to 46 matches the Rfam family "Eukaryotic small subunit ribosomal RNA", at positions 1786 to 1831 of the family's 1831-position model. The record is from RNAcentral.
AAGUCGUAACAAGGUUUCCGUAGGUGAACCUGCGGAAGGAUCAUUAUUGAAUAAACUUGAACAGGCUGUUUGCUGGCUCUCUGGAGUAUUGUGCACGCUUGUCAUCUUUAUAUUCCCCAACUGUGCACCUAUUGUAGAUCUGGGAGUUGUUUUUGAAUGUUUCGAUUGAGGAUUGCUGUGCUUCAAGCCAGCUUUGCCUUGCAUUUCCAGGUCUAUGUUUUUGUUUUCACAAUCACCAAGUGUGUUUAGAAUGUUGAAUUGGGUCAUUUGUACCUAUAAAAAGUUAAAUACAACUUUCAGCAACGGAUCUCUUGGCUCUC